This is a long non-coding RNA of Pseudopipra pipra, 807 nucleotides long. RefSeq lists it as uncharacterized. The transcript has 4 exons. Lineage: Eukaryota; Metazoa; Chordata; Aves; Passeriformes; Pipridae. The record is from RefSeq and is a predicted model, not a curated record.
UUUACAUUUUCCAAACUCCAUUGACGCAUGUGAAAGAAAACACAGACGAUAAAUUCUCGUUCUCAGCGCACAUUUCAAGACACCACUUUAAUUAUUCCUAUCAGUUCCGCUGUCUAUUGCACUCCCAUUUCUACCUCCCCCAACAUAUGAAUGAUACUUUCUAUGUUUUCAGCAGCACUUUUUGUGUACCCAAUCUGCAGGUGCACGAAAUACCUUGGCAAGGGGCAAACUGAUUAUCACUUAAGAAAACAGUAACACUGUAUAGUUCAUAUUUCUUCAAGGUCUUGAGUGAGCAUAAAUUCUCUUGAAAACGAAGUUAUUGCACUUCAAGCAUCAAGACAGCGAACCAGGUUUACUCUUGCCACAAGUGGAGUUCAUCUUGAUCUGGCUCGUUGUUCCUUUUUCCUAUGCAUAUACUUCUUUGAGAAUUGCUUCUAAAGAGGUAUAGGGCAUGGGAAAAUGGGGCAAUUGAGGUACUUCACCACUCAUUUCAACCAGCUGUAGAAAUGUAUAUCGAAAACAGAAGUAUGAAGAAAUUACAGGUGCUGGGAAUCAUUCUUCACUGAAUCCAGUUAGUGCUGACUCAGGUACCUUGGAAGUGGAAGUAUAGAAGCUCUCUUGGUUUUUUUCAUUCAGUAGAAAAACAGUCAUUAAACGCAAUUUUUAUGUUUCUGUCCAAUUACUUUUAUUUACUCUAAAUAACAAUGUAUCAUGUCAAUUGGAGGGGGAAUACAGCUACUAUGAAACAAUGUAACAGUACAUGACAUAUGUCAAAUAAAAAUCUUAUGUUUCAGUCACAGGUCAAAA